UGUCAGAUAAUGAUGCUCCCAGAGCCAACAGGUCCUUAUUUUCAGCCAUUCCUGCAAAAAGUAUUGUCUCUCCACUGGGCUCUGGUCAGGGAGGCAUAGUGCUUACUAUCCUCUGGGAUACCUAUGCUCAUCUCUAUCAUCCCGUUGACCUACCAUUUUUAUUUCUUGACAUGUGGAGCACAGCUGCUUAUUUCUGAUCAGCAUGGGGUUACUCUGGAUCCUCCUGGCCUGAGGGGAGAAACAGAGGAAGAAGGCCUCCCUAAGCAGGGAUCUACCUCCUGACAUCAUGGCUGACCCAGUGGUAACUCACAGAGUGGAGCUGUCACCAUGAUCGGGUGUCACCACGAGUGGGGCGCUGUGACAAGUGCUUAGGAACACCACCCUGGCACACCAGCAGCCACCCUGUGUACUCCUCAGACUCUUCUGUGUUAGAACUGCUUGUGCCAAACUAGGUAAUACUUAAAACACAUCUAUAACUUUCUUACUGAGGCCUUAGGAAAGUUUUGCCAAAAAUAAUUGGAACCCAGAGCGUUAGCCAGAUGAAGAGUUUCUAAUCUUUAAGAAUUGUUGAUAGUGGGA
Molecule: long non-coding RNA, 579 nt
Organism: Canis lupus familiaris (dog)
Lineage: Eukaryota; Metazoa; Chordata; Mammalia; Carnivora; Canidae
Exons: 3
Source: RefSeq, a predicted model, not a curated record